UACGUAGGGGGCAAGCGUUAUUCGGAAUCAUUGGGCGUAAAGGGCGCGUAGGCGGCCUUGCAAGUCAAAGGUGAAAUCCCUCGGCCUAACCGAGGAACUGCCUUUGAUACUGCAUGGCUCGAGGCCGGGAGAGGGUAGCGGAAUUCCCAGUGUAGCGGUGAAAUGCGUAGAUAUUGGGAGGGACACCAGUGGCGAAGGCGGCUACCUGGACCGGUUCUGACGCUGAUGCGCGAAAGCGUGGGGAGCAAACAGG
RNAcentral lists this ribosomal RNA (253 nucleotides) under uncultured bacterium. RNAcentral's name for it is "partial 16S ribosomal RNA". It matches the Rfam family "Bacterial small subunit ribosomal RNA", at positions 524 to 776 of the family's 1533-position model. The record is from RNAcentral.